This 392-nucleotide ribosomal RNA is filed under the name uncultured bacterium. RNAcentral's name for it is "bacterial SSU rRNA". It matches the Rfam family "Bacterial small subunit ribosomal RNA", at positions 28 to 424 of the family's 1533-position model. The record is from RNAcentral.
GACGAACGCUGGCGGCGUGCUUAACACAUGCAAGUCGAGCGGUAAGGCCCUUUCGGGGGUACACGAGCGGCGAACGGGUGAGUAACACGUGGGUGACCUGCCCUUAGCUCUGGGAUAAGCCUGGGAAACUGGGUCUAAUACCGGAUAUGACUCCAUGACGCAUGUUGUGGGGUGGAAAGCCUUGUGUGGCUAGGGAUGGGCCUGCGGCCUAUCAGCUUGUUGGUGGGGUGAUGGCCUACCAAGGCGACGACGGGUAGCCGGCCUGAGAGGGCGACCGGCCACACUGGGACUGAGACACGGCCCAGACUCCUACGGGAGGCAGCAGUGGGGAAUCUUGCGCAAUGGGCGAAAGCCUGACGCAGCGACGCCGCGUGGGGAUGACGGCCUCGGUU